Molecule: long non-coding RNA, 376 nt
Filed under: Homo sapiens (human)
Lineage: Eukaryota; Metazoa; Chordata; Mammalia; Primates; Hominidae
Description: HSALNT0155380
Source: RNAcentral
UCCUGGAGUAGCAAUGGUACAGGAAAGGGUUUCCAUUUUCUGUGCCAUAAGGUGCUGGUGUUGAUCUUCUUAAAGCCCCAGAGUUUUCUUCCAAGACUGGAUUACACUCAGCAAUUAAGAGCUUCCUGUUGUAAGAGCUCAGCAGACAGUGACGCGAGACACUGCCUCCCAACUUCAGUUCACCUUUGCAGUUCCACAAGGGACACCAUGUCAAGAUUGUUCAGCUUUUUUGAUGAGUGCUGCGUGGGUAACUAAUGUGUAAAUGCAGAUACGUAUAGAAAGCAGUUUUGACAGUGAUGUAUUGCAACUGGUUCCAGAUGUCGGUAAGGGAUGCUUGGCCAGGCAUCUAGAGCUCCACUGCCACGGAGCAGCACCA